GCCCGAUUCCAAAAGCCCAGGGGGUGGGCCUCGCCCUUCCUCUCCCUCCAGGUUUAAUUAUCUGAAGAGUCUUGGACUUUCAUUUCUUGUUUUUUGCUUGUUUGCUUGUUUGUUUGCACCUGGUUGAUGUAUAAGUCUUGGACUUUGGGAGACCCAAAAGAGAAGGAAGGUGUUGGCAAUAUCCUUGAAGAGACUAAAAGAACUCAGAACAACACUGAACAAGCCAGCAGAGCCAUCAACUCACCCCUACAGUCUCCAUACACAGACUCCAUGAAAGCAUUGGCCAUCAGCUCUCACUGGUGUGGAUAUGUCACCAGUGGGGUAGAGUUGUUCCUCUCUCUGACACUGUAUUAGUCCAUUCUCACACUGCUAUUAAAAAACAAACAAACAAACUU
RNAcentral lists this long non-coding RNA (395 nucleotides) under Homo sapiens (human). Its description in RNAcentral is "HSALNT0297563". Lineage: Eukaryota; Metazoa; Chordata; Mammalia; Primates; Hominidae. The record is from RNAcentral.